UACCCUUGACAUAGUAAGAAUCCUGCAGAGAUGCGGGAGUGCCUUCGGGAGCUUAUAUAC
Molecule: ribosomal RNA, 60 nt
Filed under: uncultured organism
Description: partial 16S ribosomal RNA
Source: RNAcentral